CGAAAAGGGAAAACGCUGCCUUGGCAGCGUGUGAGAGAGUGAAAGAAAUAGAGGGGGGGAGCUGCCUUUGGGCAGCUCGCAGAGAAGAGGCGCUGCCUUUGGCAGCGAGAGAGGCCCAAGGCGCGGCAUUGGUGGAAGGAGAGAGCUGCCUUUGGCAGCGAGCAGCAGGGGACAGGAAAGAGCUGCCUUUGCAGCACAAGGAAAAAGGGGGAGAGCAGUCAGCGUGGAAGGCUGACGGGGCAAGUGAGCACGGGUAGGAAAGGAGUCAGUACGGGGUGAGGGCGGUCUUGGGCGCGGAAAAGGAAAGGCUGCCUUGGCAGCAGAAUUGAGGACGGUCAGAAGGUGGGAAGGCGCAGAGAGGGAUAGAGAGAAAGAGUCAGACGCCAGAAAAACAGAAAAAAAAGAUAGAGAGAAUGAGGGGGACUGACGCAAGGGCAGCAUGGGCAGAAGCAGCAAGCACUCUCCUCUCUCUCGGUUAAAUCUUUCUAAAUCUAUAUUUUAUUUCUGUUUUUAAUAAUGUGUAAUUAAAUUUAUUUUGGCUAGAGGUUAAUUCGAAACCAUGGAUAUAUUUGUAAUAUGAAUUGAUUACCUUCGGUUGUGAUUUCAUAAGUUGUGAAUUCAAUUUACUUAUCCGUUCGUAUAAAAACUGAUUUGUGUAUGUUGGUUGAGAGUGCACGCUUAAUUUACAUGCAUGAAUUUGAUGCUAGAAUAUAAGUGAAUUUCACCUAAUCGUUAUGAACUUAUUUUCACAAGUAGUAAAGGUUGCUAGUCACAAUCACGUUAAGUAAAUUCUUGGCAAGAGUAUCAUGCUUUUCAUAGUUACGAAUGCCUCGUCAAUGCUUAUAGUUUUCACAAAGUUUAAUGAUCUUUGAUUGUAUCUCUAUUGUGCUUUUCACGUAGGGGACUUUUGAAGAAUGUUUUUGAAUUGUUGUAUGCGUUUUCCCGUCCAAUUCAAUAACUUAAGGAAAACUUGAAGAUUAAAAAAGUGUUGUUCACGGUUAAUCUGAAGUGUUGAGUUUCACAACUUAUUGAAAGAACAACUGAAAAUCAAUUUAGGUUGCAUAUGUGUCAUGUGUAGAGAAGAACCCUCUAGCUAAUCCAUCACCUAUCCUUUCACCUUAAUUUCAUGUUUUUGUAAAUUCUGUAAUUUAUUUAAGUUUAAUUUACUUCUAGUCAAAACCAAACACCCUUCCAUUAUUAAAUUAUAUUAUUUAGUUAGUUUUCUUUAUUGUUAGUCUCUUAAUUUAAUUUCCGUCCAUUUCAGUUCCUAGUGUUUAAUUUAAUUGUUUUCAUUAUUUUGAGUCAUUUUAAGUGUGUUUCGAGUUAUUAGAGUUUUUAGCCUAGUUUUGUGUCCUUGAGUCUUAUUUAAUAUUUUUAAAUUAAUUUAGAAUAGAUUAGCAAUCCCUCCUAAUCCCCGGCCUAGAACGAUACCCUACUUACAUCUAUACUACAAUUGUCAAAAAGAGGGUUUAAUUUGUGUGCUUAGUUAUUUUACCAUCAAAUUUUGGCGCCGUUGCCGGGGAUUAGUAACUUUGCUAAUCCUUUUAUUUUUGUUUUUGUUUAUGUUUAUAUUGGUGUUUGUGUAUUUUACUUUUGAUAUUUGAUUUAUUUUUCUUUCUUUGAUUUUAGGUUCAAAUGGAGCCGAGGGAAAUUUAAAGGAAAGAUGCGUCCGGCUAAAGACGUUAAAUCAAGCGCUUCUUGGGAGGCAACCCAAGCAUUCAACGAAGGGAGACUUUGGAAUCACUAACCCAAUCAGCUUUGCAUUCUUCCACCCUUAUCUUUACUGCUUUCAUUUUGUUUUGUUUAGUUAGUUGUGUUAUUUGGUUGAUUUCUGUGAGUUUGUGUUAUUUAGUUUAAGUGUGGGGGAAGGUUAACCAAAGUCUUUCUACUUUAAUUUACUUAUAAAAAAAAAAAAAAAAAAAAGAUAAAAUUUAAAAUUAAUGAUAAAAAUAAAUAAAUAAAUAAAUAAACACUUAAAAAAAAAUAAAUAAAUAAAUAAAAAAUAAUAAAAAAAAAAAAAAAAAGUACAAAUAUUUUACAAUGAUGUAAACUAAUAGUAUUCAUUGGUCGGGUGGUGCUUCAGUAGUAGGCGGGGCUUCAGCAGUCGGCGGGGCCACAGAAGGAGGAGGCGGCAGAGGUUGAUCAGUUGGAGCUUCACUACGCGGUGCCGCUCCAGAAGACGAAGGCAGAUGUUGUUGGAACAAACCCACAAACCUCCGAUGAUCAAGUAAAAUUUGACCAUCGGUGUCCUGCAUCUGGUCAAUCUUCCUCUUCAUGCUGGUGGCAUAGCUGUGUGCGAGCUUGUGCAAUUCCUUAUUCUCAUGCUUGAGCCCUUUAAUCUCUUGCUUGAGACUUUGUAUUUCAGCCACCAAGGAUUCAACGUGACGGGUUCGGGCAUAUAGGCGUUGGGCCAUGUUGGAUACGGAACCCGCACACUGCACACUGAGAGCCAGAGACUCCUUGACCGCCAAUUCAUCAGACCGCCUUGCGAGCAGUCUGUUAUCUCUGGGAGUGACAAGGUUUCGGGCCACCACCGCAGCGGUCAUGUCAUUUUUCAUCACCGAAUCCCCAACAGUAAGAGGACCAGUUGGGGAUAUGAAAGAUGGGCGCCAUAUGUUGUCUGGUGAAGGCGGAGCUGCCUCUUCACCACGGUUCAGGUCAAAACGACGAUCGGAAGGGCCAGACAUUUUUCAGAGGUGGUGAAGAAAGAAGAGAGUUGGACUGAUCAAGAUUAAACAAGUGCAAGAUGGGAGUGUUUACUAGAGGGAGCUCAAGUGUGUUGUGGAACAAAAUUAACGCCUCUAUAAAAAGAAGAAAUCAAAGAGGCGCUCCUCAGAGAAGCGUCAUCUCGCAAAUCGAAGAGUCGGGGCUCCUUUCUCAAAAGCCGGAUUCUUUUCUCAAAAGAGGCGUUUCAUUUCUUAAAGGCUGGGCUUGCUCAGAAACCACGAGCCGAACCCCGGAUUUCAAAAGAUCAAUUUGUCCAGACGUGUCGUCACUUGUCACACGCAAAUUGCUUUGCGAAAUUCUCGGGCAGUUUGUCGAAGCACCAAUUCAGAAAUCGAAGAGGGAAAUUCAACAGUCAAAGACACGCUAGCUUUCUCAAAAGCUGGGCUUCAACCCACGGGCAAAUCUUCUUUUCCAGAUUUAUCCGCACGUGUCACAUGCUACCUCUACAAUCGACGAUGCUCAGAGCUCGAAGCGCCGAUUCCAGAUAUCAAUGAGGAAUCUGCUUUGCGGAAAUUACGGGCAGCUUUGUCAGAAAGCGCGUAAUUUGUACUAUUCAUCCAUCCACCGGCUGCCGACAAUGAGUGAGAGAACAGUUCCGGUUGUGAAGGCAAGUCCUAUAAGUUUCUACCUUCGCCUUCCACAGCAAAAGCACAUUCUCUCAGCACACCCUCUCAACACCUCUUCAUCUCCGAAAAUGCAUUCCCAAAGAAUCCUCUCGAGUCACUCUGUGUUCCUCAUUCCUUGGGAUACUCCUGCGAACAACCCAUUCAAAGCAAAAGUAUUUCAUAUCAUAAAGGUUGAAAGCAAGAGUAUCUCAUAUCAUGCUUUCUCCAUGUCCUUCUCCUUGUCUUUGUUUUCCGACAAGGAGAAAGAGAGCAAUCAGCCAGCAUUUGGUAUCAAUCUUCCAAUCUGGAGCCAACUGCCUGGAACCCCUUCCUGAUUGCUUACCUAGCCUUGCUCUCGAGUACUCAUCUUCAUCAUUUUAUGCUUUCUCUUCGUCUACCACAUCUGCCUGGGGGACAGUAAGGGAAGUGAAAAUGAUACCUCGAAGCAUGUGGAGACAAUUCAGCUAGGGACAAGGAGAAAGAAAGCAAGAGGUGGGCACUUGGAAAGAUUGAAGAAAGAAAUAAGGACCAACACCUUUGCCUCGUGCCUGCCCGCCGUGCUGAAGAAACAAGCAGAGAAGAAUGCAGCUCGUACAAUCAACCCAGCACAAGAAGUCCGAACUGAAGACCUAGAGAAGCUGGCACAUCUGCUUGGAGAACAAAUAAGGAACUGCAACAUAACCAAAGAGCAAAGCUUCGCCGUACAAUAUCAUAAAAUCAUCACUUGCAAGUGAAAAGCUAAGUGUCACCCUGUUCAAGAGGAAAGCUGUGGAAAGUCAACAAGCACGACCAAUGAUUACUUAUUAGUUUUAUUCAUUAUCUUUUAUCGUAAUUUUCAAUUUUUCGUUUGCAAUUUUUUUUUUUUUAAUUAAUUUUCUUGCGUACUUAACUGAAUUAUUUCUUUUCUUUGCAGGAACUUUUGGUUAUUUCCACCCUUGAAGUUGAUUGCAGAAUUUUAGCUUGGGGGUCAUCGCUUGAUUUUACUGCAAAUUAGGGAAGUUUUCAGUCCAAUUGCGUUAUUUUGUUUCUUAUUAUUUAUUUAUUUUAUUUUAUUUUUUUAUUUGCAUUAUAGUGUUUUCUGACAUUGGGGACAAUGUCAAGUUUAAGUGUGGGGGUAGAAAUCUCUAGAAUUUCAUUUGUUUCUGUGUUGUUGCUUUUUGUUUUCUUUAAAAAAAAAAAAAAAAAAAAAAAUCGGAAAAUUUAAAAAUCCAAAAAUAUUGUCUUGUUUUCCUUAUUGUUUUGAAUUAGAUUUUUGUUAGUUUCCCGACCCAAUGAUAUAAUUGAAUAAAAUUUGAACCAUGAUCAUCAAGAACUUAGUUAACAUGUGUUUUGUGAAAUUCCUAAUUCUUUUGUUAGUUUUGUACAUGUUUGAUCAUCUUUGAAAAACCAAAUGCACAUAGCCUUGUUGAUGUGAAACUAAAGCAUAACGUAAAGCUUCAUAUGUGAAUUUAGUGACCAUAUACAUCCUAUGUGAGUUUUUGAGCCUAUUGAAAGUGUGUGCAUUUUUCAUACACUCCUAUUCUUUCAUGUGUGCUGAACUUAUGUGAGAUGCAUCUCUAGAACUUGCGUAACGAUCUUUCGAAAUGUUUGUCAUUGAUUACAUGAACUUGGAAAUGAUAGAGGCAUUAGGUUUACCACCAUGGCCCAAAUAACCAUGUUUCCCAACAGAAAAAUGAUAUCAUUAGAUUGCCAAUUUGAGCCGUGUUUGUUGAGCCUUUUAUUUCUUAUCACCAGAUAUGUCUACCCUUAUACCUGAAAUAUUUUUUCCUUACCCUUUCCAAGCGAGCAAUGCGAGAUUGUCUUAUGAGAAAUGUUUGUGAAGUACUUUGAAGGUGUUUGGCAAAAGAAUAAGUGUGGGGGUAUUUCAUGUUUGUAUUUUAAAAAAAAAAAAAAAAAAAAAAAAAAAAAAAAAAAAGAAAGAAAGAUUGUAUACAAAGAAAAUAAAAAGUUUUUAAAGUUUCAGUUUAAGAGUAUGGUUGGAGGUGCUAGAAGAAUUGCUGGAGAGCUUGAGUUCUUAUAAAUCUAAAGAAAAGAAUUGCUUGCAAUGUAGCUUGGAACUUGUGUUUUCCUAUUCUUUCAUUUCAAUAACCCUAUCCCUAAGCCUCAUUACAUCCAAUAAAAGUCCUCUUGAUUUAAGUUUUGCAAUUAUGACUGUGGAGAAGUGAUCUUUAUGCAAGCUUAUGGUAGAAAUUUCACAUUUGUUUCUUUGAGCGAAACACAUUAAAACUAAACACAUAUGUGAUUGAGUGUAUAUCCCGUGAGAAGGUUACUAGUUUGCAUAUGAUGAUUUUAAAAAAUAAAAACUUGAAAUUGCAUUAGCAUGGCUAUCUCACACAUUACACUUCAAGGAUGAUUCAAAGAUUAUUGCUAAUAUUUGAAUAAGGAAGAUGAACUUGGAUUAACUUGUUUGGUGCUAGCUAUGGUUCUUGAUGAUUUGUGUUCUCAAAUGAAAUUCUAUGAGGGUCACAUAGGGGGAAACUAAUGUUUUUUCAUGUUAGUACUUUUUCAUGUUUUCUUUGUUUUGCUCGAGGACUAGCAAAAGCUAAGUAUGGGGGUAUUUGAUCGGAUCAUAUUUAUAUAUAUUUUUACUUCAAAUUCACUCGUAUUUUCUUAGUCAGUUCUUUAUAUUUUUGAGCUAUUUACGUUAUUUUUGUGUUUAUAGGAUUUGUUAUGCAAAGAAAAUAAAAACAGCACAAAUGAGUUUUAAAUAAUAAACAGAAUAGUUACUUCGAACAUUAUGAUUUUUUUUUGUAGGUCAAUUCAUUGCGAUUAUAAUCGAACUAAAUCUCUGUCCUUAAAUCUAUGCAGAAUGUAUAUAUGCACCACGCAUUGAUUUUUCCAAUAUCUGUUUACGUGUAUAAAGUGCAUGCAGACGGUACUCACUCGUUUUCUUUUUGGUCAGCAAGCGUGGAUUUCCAACUAGACAACAAAAGAAUCCAAGGAAGGCAAGUCAGACGUGGGGAAAAGUGGGAGUGUGCUGGCUGAGACCAUGUUCUAUGUUCCAGCUGAGAACCGAGAAAAGAAAGCUGCUUUGCAGCUGGAGAGAAAAAAAUAGGAGCUGUAAAGAGGAAACAAGGGGUCAGCGUGAAAAGGAAAGCAGAAGACAGCUAAGAAAGAAAUAAAAUAAAAGAAAGGCAGCAGAUAUCACGGGACAGGGAAGAGGACCGAAAAGGGAAAACGCUGCCUUGGCAGCGUGUGAGAGAGUGAAAGAAAUAGAGGGGGGGAGCUGCCUUUGGGCAGCUCGCAGAGAAGAGGCGCUGCCUUUGGCAGCGAGAGAGGCCCAAGGCGCGGCAUUGGUGGAAGGAGAGAGCUGCCUUUGGCAGCGAGCAGCAGGGGACAGGAAAGAGCUGCCUUUGCAGCACAAGGAAAAAGGGGGAUAGCAGUCAGCGUGGAAGGCUGACGGGGCAAGUGGGCACGGGUAGGAAAGGAGUCAGUACGGGGUGAGGGCGGUCUUGGGCGCGGAAAAGGAAAGGCUGCCUUGGCAGCAGAAUUGAGGACGGUCAGAAGGUGGGAAGGCGCAGAGAGGGAUAGAGAGAAAGAGUCAGACGCCAGAAAAACAGAAAAAAAAGAUAGAGAGAAGGAGGGGGACUGACGCAAGGGCAGCAUGGGCAGAAGCAGCAAGCACUCUCCUCUCUCUCGGUUAAAUCUUUCUAAAUCUAUAUUUUAUUUCUGUUUUUAAUAAUGUGUAAUUAAAUUUAUUUUGGCUAGAGGUUAAUUCGAAACCAUGGAUAUAUUUGUAAUAUGAAUUGAUUACCUUCGG
This 7092-nucleotide long non-coding RNA is filed under the name Malus domestica (apple). RNAcentral's name for it is "long non-coding RNA (MDOM_LNC008133)". The record is from RNAcentral. Lineage: Eukaryota; Viridiplantae; Streptophyta; Magnoliopsida; Rosales; Rosaceae.